AGUGAACGCUGGCGGCAGGCCUAACACAUGCAAGUCGAGCGGCAGCGCGGGGGCAACCCUGGCGGCGAGCGGCGGACGGGUGAGGAAUUCGUCGGAAUCUGCCUUUUUGUGGGGGAUAACGUAGGGAAACUUACGCUAAUACCGCAUACGUCCUACGGGAGAAAGUGGGGGACCGCAAGGCCUCACGCAGAAAGAUGAGCCGACGACCGAUUAGCUAGUUGGUGGGGUAAAGGCCCACCAAGGCGACGAUCGGUAGCUGGUCUGAGAGGAUGAUCAGCCACACUGGGACUGAGACACGGCCCAGACUCCUACGGGAGGCAGCAGUGGGGAAUAUUGGACAAUGGGCGCAAGCCUGAUCCAGCCAUGCCGCGUGUGUGAAGAAGGCCUUCGGGUUGUAAAGCACUUUUGUCCGGAAAGAAAUCCCUGGAGCUAAUACCUUCGGGUGAUGACGGUACCGGAAGAAUAAGCACCGGCUAACUUCGUG
Molecule: ribosomal RNA, 484 nt
Filed under: uncultured bacterium
Lineage: Bacteria
Description: partial 16S ribosomal RNA
Rfam family: Bacterial small subunit ribosomal RNA
Source: RNAcentral